Molecule: ribosomal RNA, 503 nt
Filed under: uncultured bacterium
Lineage: Bacteria
Description: partial 16S ribosomal RNA
Rfam family: Bacterial small subunit ribosomal RNA
Source: RNAcentral
AUUGAACGCUGGCGGCAGGCUUAACACAUGCAAGUCGAGCGGGGUGAUGGUGCUUGCACUAUCACUUAGCGGCGGACGGGUGAGUAAUGCUUAGGAAUCUGCCUAUUAGUGGGGGACAACAUCUCGAAAGGGAUGCUAAUACCGCAUACGUCCUACGGGAGAAAGCAGGGGAUCACUUGUGACCUUGUGCUAAUAGAUGAGCCUAAGUCGGAUUAGCUAGUUGGUGGGGUAAAGGCCUACCAAGGCGACGAUCUGUAGCGGGUCUGAGAGGAUGAGCCGUCCCACUGGGACAUGGACACGGCCCAGACUGCUACGGGAGGCAGCAGUGGGGAAUAUUGGACAAUGGCGAGAACCCUGAUCCAGCCAUGCAGCGUGUGUGAAGAAGGCCUUAUGGUUGUAAAGCACUUUAAGCGAGGAGGAGGCUCUUUUGGUUAAUACCCAAGAUGAGUGGACGUUACUCGCAGAAUAAGCACCGGCUAACUCUGUGCCAGCAGCCGCAGUAA